GCCCUGGUAGUAUAGUCCGGUCUAGUAUAAGCGGCUGUCGCCCGCUGGACAUUACAGAGAAAAAUGCUCUGAAAACCUGAACCGGGUUCGAAUCCCGGCCAGGGCG
RNAcentral lists this transfer RNA (106 nucleotides) under Candidatus Bathyarchaeota archaeon. RNAcentral describes it as "tRNA-Asp". Lineage: Archaea; Thermoproteati; Candidatus Bathyarchaeota. The record is from RNAcentral.